Molecule: ribosomal RNA, 240 nt
Filed under: uncultured bacterium
Lineage: Bacteria
Description: partial 16S ribosomal RNA
Rfam family: Bacterial small subunit ribosomal RNA
Source: RNAcentral
UACGGGGGGAGCAAGCGUUGUUCGGAUUUACUGGGCGUAAAGGGCGCGUAGGCGGCCACCGCAAGUCGACUGUGAAAUCUCCGGGCUUAACCCGGAGCGGCCAAGUGAUACUGUCGUGCUAGAGUGCGGAAGGGGCUACUGGAAUUCUCGGUGUAGCGGUGAAAUGCGUAGAUAUCGAGAGGAACACCUGCGGCGAAGGCGGGUAGCUGGGCCGACACUGACGCUGAGGCGCGAAAGCCA